This 423-nucleotide ribosomal RNA is filed under the name uncultured bacterium. RNAcentral describes it as "bacterial SSU rRNA". It matches the Rfam family "Bacterial small subunit ribosomal RNA", at positions 362 to 776 of the family's 1533-position model. The record is from RNAcentral.
UUGUUCGCAAUGGGCGCAAGCCUGACGACGCAACGCCGCGUGGAGGAUGAAGACCUUCGGGUCGUAAACUCCUUUCGACCGAGAUGAACGUCCCGCGACCUAACACGUCGUGGGAGUGACAGUAUCGAGGGAAGAAGCCCCGGCUAACUCUGUGCCAGCAGCCGCGGUAAUACAGGGGGGGCUAGCGUUGUUCGGAAUUACUGGGCGUAAAGGGUUCGUAGGUGGCCGGCUAAGUCAGACGUGAAAUCCCUCAGCUUAACUGGGGAACUGCGUCUGAUACUGGUCGGCUUGAGUGCGGGAGAGGAACGCGGAAUUCCAGGUGUAGCGGUGAAAUGCGUAGAUAUCUGGAGGAACACCGGUGGCGAAGGCGGCGUUCUGGACUGCAACUGACACUGAGGAACGAAAGCCAGGGGAGCAAACGGG